This is a long non-coding RNA of Rhagoletis zephyria (snowberry fruit fly), 109 nucleotides long. RefSeq lists it as uncharacterized. Lineage: Eukaryota; Metazoa; Arthropoda; Insecta; Diptera; Tephritidae. The record is from RefSeq and is a predicted model, not a curated record.
UUUAACUAACUACAAAAGCUAAAAUGCCCAAAAUUGACAGUUAGAAUUUCCUUAUAACAAGGAAUUAUAAACUGAUAGAAAUGGACUUAAAAAUAAAUAAAUAUAUGUA